Nycticebus coucang (slow loris) is the source of this 133-nucleotide small nucleolar RNA. RefSeq annotates it as small nucleolar RNA SNORA61. The transcript has a single exon. NCBI's taxonomy places the organism in Eukaryota, Metazoa, Chordata, Mammalia, Primates, Lorisidae. The record is from RefSeq and is a predicted model, not a curated record.
ACUCUCCCGAUUCCCGUUCCCAUCAGAUGUGAACACUGGUCUUGGUGGUCAUAAAAGGAAGGAAAGUAAUACAGAAGCUGGCCUCACAUCAUUGUAGUGUGGUAUAUAUCACAUGGGCUAGUUUCAAACAAAG